RNAcentral lists this non-coding RNA (109 nucleotides) under Rattus norvegicus (Norway rat). The stretch from base 7 to 75 matches the Rfam family "tRNA". From Rfam's summary of the family: Transfer RNA (tRNA) molecules are approximately 80 nucleotides in length. Their secondary structure includes four short double-helical elements and three loops (D, anti-codon, and T loops). The record is from RNAcentral. Lineage: Eukaryota; Metazoa; Chordata; Mammalia; Rodentia; Muridae.
GGGGUUGGGGAUUUAGCUCAGUGGUAGAGCGCUUGCCUAGGAAGCGCAAGGCCCUGGGUUCGGUCCCCAGCUCCGAAAAAAAAAAAAAAAAAAAAAGAACCAAAAAUUU